GACGAACGCUGGCGGUAUGCCUAACACAUGCAAGUCGAACGAGAUUUCUUUUUGUUUACAGAGAAGGAAUUGCAGUGGCGGACGGGUGAGGAACACGUAAGAACUUACCUUUUGGCGGGGGAUAACAACGGGAAACUGUUGCUAAUACCCCAUAAUGCUGAGGAGCGAAAGGGAAACUGCCAAGAGAGAGGCUUGCGUCUGAUUAGCUAGUUGGCGGAGGUAAAGGCUCCCCAAGGCGACGAUCAGUAGCUGGUCUGAGAGGAUGAUCAGCCACACUGGGACUGAGACACGGCCCAGACACCUACGGGAGGCAG
Molecule: ribosomal RNA, 314 nt
Filed under: uncultured cyanobacterium
Lineage: Bacteria; Bacillati; Cyanobacteriota
Description: bacterial SSU rRNA
Rfam family: Bacterial small subunit ribosomal RNA
Source: RNAcentral